This 21-nucleotide non-coding RNA is filed under the name Caenorhabditis elegans. The record is from RNAcentral. Lineage: Eukaryota; Metazoa; Nematoda; Chromadorea; Rhabditida; Rhabditidae.
UGUUCCUCAUUUUGUGUAAAC